GAUGAACGCUGGCGGCGUGCCUAAUACAUGCAAGUCGAGCGAACGGAUGAAGUGCUUGCACUUCUGACGUUAGCGGCGAACGGGUGAGUAACACGUAAGGAAUCUACCUACAAGCGGGGGAUAACAUUCGGAAACGGGUGCUAAUACCGCAUAAUAUCUUCUUCCGCAUGGAAGAAGAUUGAAAGACGGCUCUGCUGUCACUUAUAGAUGACCUUGCGGUGCAUUAGUUAGUUGGUGGGGCAAUGGCCUACCAAGACGAUGAUGCAUAGCCGACCUGAGAGGGUGAUCGGCCACAUUGGGACUGAGACACGGCCCAAACUCCUACGGGAGGCAGCAGUAGGGAAUCUUCCGCAAUGGGCGAAAGCCUGACGGAGCAAUGCCGCGUGAGUGAAGAAGGCCUUCGGGUCGUAAAACUCUGUUAUAAGAGAAGAACAAAUUGUAGAGUAACUGCUACAGUCUUGACGGUAUCUUAUCAGAAAGCCACGGCUAACUACGUGCCAGCCGCCGCCGUAA
This 513-nucleotide ribosomal RNA is filed under the name uncultured bacterium. RNAcentral describes it as "partial 16S ribosomal RNA". It matches the Rfam family "Bacterial small subunit ribosomal RNA", at positions 28 to 523 of the family's 1533-position model. The record is from RNAcentral.